This 457-nucleotide ribosomal RNA is filed under the name uncultured bacterium. RNAcentral's name for it is "bacterial SSU rRNA". It matches the Rfam family "Bacterial small subunit ribosomal RNA", at positions 340 to 786 of the family's 1533-position model. The record is from RNAcentral.
UACGGAAGGCAGCAGUGGGGAAUAUUGCACAAUGGGCGCAAGCCUGAUGCAGCCAUGCCGCGUGUAUGAAGAAGGCCUUCGGGUUGUAAAGUACUUUCAGUCGUGAGGAAGGUGUUAAGGUUAAUAACCUUAGCAAUUGACGUUAGCGACAGAAGAAGCACCGGCUAACUCCGUGCCAGCAGCCGCGGUAAUACGGAGGGUGCGAGCGUUAAUCGGAAUUACUGGGCGUAAAGGGCACGCAGGCGGUUAAUUAAGUUGGAUGUGAAAUCCCCGGGCUUAACCUGGGAAUGGCAUUCAAGACUGGUUAGCUAGAGUCUUGUAGAGGGGGUAGAAUUCCAUGUGUAGCGGUGAAAUGCGUAGAGAUGUGGAGGAAAUACCGGUGGCGAAGGCGGCCCCUGGACGAAAGACUGACGCUCAUGUGCGAAACGCGUGGGGAGGCAAACAGGAGUUAGAUACC